This is a long non-coding RNA of Mya arenaria, 562 nucleotides long. RefSeq lists it as uncharacterized. The transcript has 4 exons. Lineage: Eukaryota; Metazoa; Mollusca; Bivalvia; Myida; Myidae. The record is from RefSeq and is a predicted model, not a curated record.
AAAAAUAGCUGAAAACAGUACGACAAUGUUCUAUUUUCGCCGUUCUGUCAAAAAAAGGAUUUUAACUGUAGAAGAUUCAUACCAUUUGAUGCCAAGUGUACAAUAAAAACUGAAAUGAAAAUUGACAGCAGAAGUGUCAUGGUCUUGGUGGAAAAUGCUGUGCUCUUCAUUGACCUCUGUUUAAUAAUGGCUUAUGAUAAAAAACUACCAGGAAUGCUUCAAGAUGGCAAUGGAGAGCAGUGUAAAAGACACUGAGAAAUCACAAUGUUUCAAACAUCAAGAAUAUGCUCACGGUCAGUCUUCAAGAUACUCACCUUAAAGGUUCCAGUGUGAUUUAGGAGACUUUGUCAGAACAGUACAUUAUACCUACAUACACUGGAGAUACCAGACCCAACAGAUAACUACAAAUAUAUUUAAACAGAACCUGAAAUUAAUUGCAUAUCCCAAUACAACAUAAUACUUUAAACGGUUAAAUAGGCAGUGAGGCAUUUGUGUGUAAUCUUCAUUUAAUAUUUGAAAUUUCUUUUUCCUUUUUUUUAAGUUUGAUUUUGCAUUUAAAAGC